AGUUCCCUGGGAUGUUUGUUACGGCUUCAGUAAUUAAACCUACAUUUCUUUUUCGGGAGCAUUCGGUCGGAUGGACGGGAUCGAUCCCACACAAGUCGUGGGAUCGCGAAGAAGAUCCGCCUGCGCCCACCUGCGAGUCGCAGGGCAUUAAUUAGGGAGUCGGACGGCAUUUUGGGGCGAUA
Molecule: non-coding RNA, 182 nt
Filed under: Clostridia bacterium
Lineage: Bacteria; Bacillati; Bacillota; Clostridia
Description: 6S RNA
Rfam family: 6S / SsrS RNA
About the family: E. coli 6S RNA was the first non coding RNA to be sequenced, but its function was unknown until recently.
Source: RNAcentral